This 500-nucleotide ribosomal RNA is filed under the name uncultured bacterium. RNAcentral describes it as "partial 16S ribosomal RNA". It matches the Rfam family "Bacterial small subunit ribosomal RNA", at positions 30 to 523 of the family's 1533-position model. The record is from RNAcentral.
AUUGAACGCUAGCGGGAUGCCUUACACAUGCAAGUCGAACGGCAGCACGGACUUCGGUCUGGUGGCGAGUGGCGAACGGGUGAGUAAUGUAUCGGAACGUGCCCAGUAGCGGGGGAUAACUACUCGAAAGAGUAGCUAAUACCGCAUACGCCCUACGGGGGAAAGGGGGGGAUCGCAAGACCUCUCACUAUUGGAGCGGCCGAUAUCGGAUUAGCUAGUUGGUGGGGUAACGGCCCACCAAGGCGACGAUCCGUAGCUGGUUUGAGAGGACGGCCAGCCCCACUGGGACUGAGACACGGCCCAGACUCCUACGGGAGGCAGCAGUGGGGAAUUUUGGACAAUGGGGGCAACCCUGAUCCAGCCAUCCCGCGUGUGCGAUGCAGGCCUUCGGGUUGUAAAGCACUUUUGGCAGGAAAGAAAUCGCAUGGGUUAAUACCCUGUGUGGAUGACGGUACCUGCAGAAUAAGCACCGGCUAACUACGUGCCAGCCGCCGCGGUAA